Long non-coding RNA from Corapipo altera (White-ruffed manakin), 427 nucleotides. RefSeq lists it as uncharacterized. The record is from RefSeq and is a predicted model, not a curated record. The transcript has 4 exons. Lineage: Eukaryota; Metazoa; Chordata; Aves; Passeriformes; Pipridae.
CAAUUCCCACUCCUUUUGAAGCAGAUAAUUAGCAGAGACAUCCUGAUUUAAUUCAUUUCCGAAUGAGUUCCUGGAAAAUCCUGAAUGUUUUGAAAGAAAGUCGCAGAAAAUAGAGGACAACUCUGAACCCCUCAUGUCUCCAAACCAACUGUUUCCUCCUUCUCUCCUACUCAUUUCAUAUUUCCCACAUGAGAGAUGGAAACUCUACAAGUUUCCUUCUAGCUUAGAAGACACCACCCUUGUUGUAAUGUGCUAUAUUGGUGACUGGGUAGUUCUGGGGGCUUAUGAGGAGAUAUAAAAUCACAGUGAACCCAAGUGACCAUUUCGAAUCUAACCCAACCUUCUUCUGUGUGCUGUUUCCCAUACAUGCCGAGCCCACAGAGUGCCUCCCCAGACUGUUACUUACUCCUUGAGAAGCACACAUCUG